CCUACGGGGGGCUGCAGUGGGGAAUAUUGGGCAAUGGACGCAAGUCUGACCCAGCGAUGCCGCGUGAAGGAUGGAAGGCCCUCGGGUUGUAAACUUCUUUAGACAGGGAAGAAAGAAAUGACAUUACCUGUAGAAUAAGCCACGGCUAACUACGUGCCAGCAGCCGCGGUAAUACGUAGGUGGCGAGCGUUAUCCGGAAUUACUGGGUGUAAAGGGCGCGUAGGCGGGUAUGCAAGUUGGAUGUGAAAUUCCGGGGCUUAACUCCGGAUUGUCAUCUAAAACUGUGUAUCUUGAGUGUCAGAGGGGAAAGUGGAAUUCCUAGUGGAGUGGUAAAAUGCGUAGAUAUUAGGAGGAACAUCGGUGGCGAAGGCGACUUUCUGGCUGACAACUGACGCUGAGGCGCGAAAGCGUGGGUAGCGAACAGGCUUAGAUACCCCAGUAGUC
This 444-nucleotide ribosomal RNA is filed under the name uncultured Oscillospiraceae bacterium. Its description in RNAcentral is "bacterial SSU rRNA". It matches the Rfam family "Bacterial small subunit ribosomal RNA", at positions 338 to 795 of the family's 1533-position model. The record is from RNAcentral. Lineage: Bacteria; Bacillati; Bacillota; Clostridia; Eubacteriales; Oscillospiraceae.